This 253-nucleotide ribosomal RNA is filed under the name uncultured bacterium. RNAcentral's name for it is "partial 16S ribosomal RNA". It matches the Rfam family "Bacterial small subunit ribosomal RNA", at positions 524 to 776 of the family's 1533-position model. The record is from RNAcentral.
GACAGAGGUGCCGAGCGUUAGGCGGAAUCACUGGGCUUAAAGCGUGUGUAGGCGGAUCGUUAAGUGCCUUGUGAAAUCCCACGGCUCACCCGUGGAACUGCUCGGUAUACUGGUCGUCUUGAGCCUUCUAGGGGCGAGUGGAACAAAUGGUGGAGCGGUGAAAUGCGUAGAUAUCAUUUGGAACGCCAAUGGUGAAAACAACUCGCUGGGGAAGUGCUGACGCUGAGACACGAAAGCCAGGGGAGCGAACGGG